ACACCGGUAAUACGUAGGGGGCAAGCGUUUUCCGGAAUUAUUGGGCGUAAAGGGCUCGUAGGCGGUUCGUCGCGUCCGGUGUGAAAGUCCAUCGCUUAACGGUGGAUCCGCGCCGGGUACGGGCGGGCUUGAGUGCGGUAGGGGAGACUGGAAUUCCCGGUGUAACGGUGGAAUGUGUAGAUAUCGGGAAGAACACCAAUGGCGAAGGCAGGUCUCUGGGCCGUUACUGACGCUGAGGAGCGAAAGCGUGGGGAGCGAACAGGAUUAGAUACCCUGGUAGUCCACGCCGUAAACGGUGGAUGCUGGAUGUGGGGCCCGUUCCACGGGUUCCGUGUCGGAGCUAACGCGUUAAGCAUCCCGCCUGGGGAGUACGGCCGCAAGGCUAAAACUCAAAGAAAUUGACGGGGGCCCGCACAAGCGGCGGAGCAUGCGGAUUAAUUCGAUGCAACGCGAAGAACCUUACCUGGGCUUGACAUGUUCCCGACGAUCCCAGAGAUAGGGUUUCCCUUCGGGGCGGGUUCACAGGUGGUGCAUGGUCGUCGUCAGCUCGUGUCGUGAGAUGUUGGGUUAAGUCCCGCAACGAGCGCAACCCUCGCCCCGUGUUGCCAGCGGAUUAUGCCGGGAACUCACGGGGGACCGCCGGGGUUAACUCGGAGGAAGGUGGGGAUGACGUCAGAUCAUCAUGCCCCUUACGUCCAGGGCUUCACGCAUGCUACAAUGGCCGGUACAACGGGAUGCGACGCGGCGACGCGGAGCGGAUCCCUGAAAACCGGUCUCAGUUCGGAUCGCAGUCUGCAACUCGACUGCGUGAAGGCGGAGUCGCUAGUAAUCGCGAAUCAGCAACGUCGCGGUGAAUGCGUUCCCGGGCCUUGUACACACCGCCCGUCAAGUCAUGAAAGUGGGCAGCACCCGAAGCCGGUGGCCUAACCCCUUGGGGAUGGAGCCGUCUAAGUGAGGACUCGAGUUU
This 967-nucleotide ribosomal RNA is filed under the name Bifidobacterium longum. RNAcentral describes it as "bacterial SSU rRNA". It matches the Rfam family "Bacterial small subunit ribosomal RNA", at positions 514 to 1476 of the family's 1533-position model. Lineage: Bacteria; Bacillati; Actinomycetota; Actinomycetes; Bifidobacteriales; Bifidobacteriaceae. The record is from RNAcentral.